Molecule: ribosomal RNA, 711 nt
Filed under: Triticum aestivum (bread wheat)
Lineage: Eukaryota; Viridiplantae; Streptophyta; Magnoliopsida; Poales; Poaceae
Description: partial small subunit ribosomal RNA
Source: RNAcentral
AUGAUCAGAAAGUUCUGGUGGGGGUCUAAAGAUGGCAAGCGAAAGCCACAUUGGGUAUCUUAGAAAACAAUGACACAACCUAAAGGUAUGGGAGGAUUAGGUUUCAAAGAUUUUGAGCUCUUUAAUCUAGCAAUGCUAGCCCGCCAGGCAUGGCGAUUAUUGCAGAAUCCAGGGUCCCUAAGUGGCUGAAUUCUGAAAGUUGUUUACUUCCCAAACACCACAAUUCUGGAAGCUGUUUUGUGAAAUCAUCCAAGCCAAAUCUAGAGGGCUAUGGUAGAGGGAAGGGACACUCUGAAACUGGGUUUAAUCAAACGAAUUGGCAAUGGAACUACAACGAACAUAUGGAACGAUAAUUGGCUGCCACGGGAUGAGAUGUUAUGCCCGUACGGUUGUAUCUCACAUAACCGGCCCAAUCUAGUGUCCGAGUUGAUUGAUCCAAUGUCCACAACAUGGAUCAGACAACGAGUGGAGGAGGUCUUUAUGCCAAUGGAUGUUUCGGUCAUUGUCAAGAUCCCCCUAUGCACAAGAAAUAUCUCAGAUUUUUGGAGUUGGAAUUUCGAAAAGAAUGGCAAUUUCUUGGUGAAGUCAGCUUAUAGAAUGCUUGUUUCAACCAGGCAAAGGAGGGAGGCAUGGCUUGAUGGCACCGCUGGCUCGUCCCGGGCGAACAUGGAAGAGAAGCCGUGGAAACCCUUUGGAAUACUAAGGUUCUAG